AGCAGCCGCGGUAAUUCCAGCUCCAAUAGCGUAUAUUAAAGUUGUUGCAGUUAAAAAGCUCGUAGUUGAAUUUCGGGAUCAAUAUGUCGGUCGUGCCAUCGGUACGUACUGGUAUCAUUGGUCUCUCCUUUCUGACGAACCAUGAUGUCAUUAAUUUGGUGUUAUGGGGAGUUAGGACUGUUACUUUGAAAAAAUUAGAGUGUUUAAAGCAGGCAUUAGCUUGAAUACAUUAGCAUGGAAUAAUGAAAUAGGACGUUCGAACCUAUUUUGUUGGUUUCUAGGAUCAACGUAAUGAUUAAUAGGGAUAGUUGGGGGCAUUAGUAUUCAAUUGUCAGAGGUGAAAUUCUUGGAUUUAUUGAAGACUAACUACUGCGAAAGCAUUUGCCAAGGAUGUUUUCAUUAAUCAAGAACGAAAGUUAGGGGAUCGAAGACGAUCAGAUACCGUCGUAGUCUUAACCAUAACUAAUGCCGACUAGGGAUCGGAUGAUGUUAAUUUUUUAAUGUACUCAUUCGGCGUACC
Molecule: ribosomal RNA, 520 nt
Filed under: uncultured Glomus
Lineage: Eukaryota; Fungi; Glomeromycota; Glomeromycetes; Glomerales; Glomeraceae
Description: SSU rRNA
Rfam family: Eukaryotic small subunit ribosomal RNA
Source: RNAcentral